GACUCCUGAACAGAAAGAAGAGGCAUGGGGCUUCUAAGGUCAGGGGAAUGGGAACAAUAGUGUCUUAGGGGCCCAUAGCAGAAGGUCCUGGGCUAUCCUGGGGAGCCACUCACAUGCAGCUGAUCCAGAAAGAGUUGGGUGCUGAGGGCUCUGCUCCUUUCUUACCUCUUUGGUGCACCUCACAGGCCUGAUAUUCGAGCAGCUUGUUGAGAGUCUGGACAUCAUUCUCUUUGGCAGCUAGAAGGAAAGGACACCCCAAGAUCCUACAAGGAAAUGGGAUCAGAAAGGUAUCAGUAGUGAGCAUGCCCAGUGAUGGGGUGACGAGUGAGGAAUUGCUUGAUUGUAUGUAAACACGUGGACCUCAGUGAUAACAAACCCCAAGGUCCCUGGUUCAGGGAAUUGAGGCCAUUGGGGUGCAAAGAGUUUCUGAUCUCUUUUUUUCCUGACCAGUUAGCCCAAAACUCAGUGACUGGUUUCUACAUCUCCCCCACCCCGCCCCCUGCCAGGGUGUGGGCACCAGAAUGUAUGUACAUAGCAGGCAUGGAGGGGAGGAGCUCUACUUAGGCACUCACUCAUCUCUUGAACUAUUGACUUCUGGAACAACCCUGAUUCAGCCUUCACUGAGUGUCCUGAGAUGACCCUCCAUGAUAAGCCUUGUUUUCAAGGACAAGGAAUACAAGGCAUUCCUCCCUCUUGUUUGUGGAGGAAGUCAACACGCAGAGGUUAGCAGGUUUUCUCCUGUUGCAUGGUGCUCUGCUUCCUCGACCUUCUCAGCGAAACCCUUUGAUCCUGGCUCUUCCCUCCCUGUACCAGCAUCUUUAGGGUUCAACCCAAAAGGAAUAGUGCAGCCUUUUUGUUUUUCUGGCAGAUUAUAGUCUCUUCCUACUUCCUAUCUGUUUCUCACUUAUUUUAAGCAAAAAUUAUCUUCUCUGACUCCUCAAUCCUCUCUUAAGUUUAAUUCCUACAAUGAACUCAGAAACAUAUAUAUAUAUUUUAAUUUUUUAUUAAAACUUACUUUAACUAAGACACUUGGGACCCCUUUCAUUCAAUUUUCUCUCUCGACCCAGAGCCAUGGGGUCUUUCCAUGGAAGUGAAUGAAAUAACCCUGUUUAUCCAGAGAUGGCCAAUUAUGUGACAAAGAGAGAGCCAGACGGGUGCUCACACACCUGGUGGCGGCAGGAAACCCACUCCAGUGCUGGGGGUAGGAGUGCAAUGGGAGAGGAGGAUUGAGCCCCGGACACAUCUCCCAAAUGCUAGCCACAGCCCCCUCAUGCCACAUAGGCAGCUCCUGGCCCUGCCAAUUCACCAUCGAAUUCUUUCUCCAUUCAAUCCCUACCUCCUCAUCCUGUCUGCCCCUCAUUAAUUCAUGUCCUCAUUCUCUAACCCAAGAUUAGCAAAGUACUCUCCUAACUAGUCUCCCCAAACCUGUUUACCCCCAGUUCACAUUUUUCAAUGCUGCCAAGAUACUCUCUUUAAAUGGCAAUUGCAAUCACAGCUUACAAAAGUUCAAUGGGUCUUUAAAUGCCCAAGGAGAAGGGACCCUUUACAGUUUCUGGGCAACACUUUUCCAUGCUCUUUUCCUCCCACUUACAUCUCCCAGCCAGCAUUUUGGCCUCACCACCUGUGCCAUGCCCUGCUCUCACCUGAUAUGUACCCCCCCAACCCAGUAAUUGCCUCUUCCAUGUCCCAAGAAUAAGUGCCCAGCCUAUAGUAGCCAUCCCCACUCUCUGUAGAAUGAGUGAAUAAGGAGCAUGGUUUGACCUCACUGCCCCUUCUUAUUAUCUUUAUUGGCCAUCCCCAAGCCAACCUUAAGCUAACAUAUAAUCUAAGCAAAAAAAAAAAAAAAAAAAAAAAAAUAGUAUUCUCAGUAUGCAAACAGCUGCAAAACAAGUUUGCUAUGUUCCCCUUCACCACAUCUACCACCUUCUCAACAAUUUGGCCAAACCCCUCCUCUAUAAAUAUCCUAGAGUCAGCACUACGCAGGCACACAGAUGGCCUCCCAGGAAGAUUUGCACUCUCUCCUCAGGUGUACUUUCUCUUAGCAUGUGUGUUGUAAUUAGUAUCUAUCUCUUCCUCUGUACUAAGGGGACUUGAAGACAGCGAUCAGUCACUUUCUCAUCUCUGUAUUCUUUCCCUGGCCUCUUCCAAUUAGCUUCUACUCUUGUGUCCGGCUUUGACUAAAUGUGUGAAAAAUUAACAGCAAAGCUAGAGAUGGGUCCCAGGGCUCUUCUUACCCAAGUUCCAGCUUUAUCAUAGCUCCCUACCUCCUCGGGCAGCAGUUCUCAAUCUGUGGGUCACGACCCCUCUGGCAGUUGAAUGACCCUUUCACAGGGGUUGCCUAAGACCAUCCUGCAUAUCAGAAAUUUACAUUACGAUUCAUAACAGUAGCAAUAUUACAGUUAUGAAGCAGCAACAAAAAUAAUUUUAUGGUUGGGUCACAAGAUGAGGAACUGUAUGUAAAGGGCCAGAAGGUUGAGAACCACUGUCCUAGGGUAUGUGUGCGGAGGCUAGUUGGUGGCAGGCCCAAAGAUAUAUAUUCCUUUUGGUCCCUACACAUAUCUGAAGCCAGUAAACAACCUCCAUAAACGUCCUCUGUGUUCACUUCCUUGCCUCUGCUGACGGUCCUACUGGGCCUGGAAAAGUCAAGGAGUGACUGUCUGACACAGGCUUGCCAGGUCUACCAAGUAAAAAUAUGGGAUGCUCAGUUCCAUUUGAAUUUUAGACACACAACAUAUAAUUUUUAGUGUAAGUUUGUCCCAUACAAUAUUUGUGACAAACUUAUACGAACAGCAUAUUAUCUGAAAUUGCAAUUUAACUCAGUGUCCUGGACUUAUCUCGCAAGCACAGUCAGACCACACUCUGCGUGAAGAACCAGCUUAGAACCCAACCCAGCAGGGUUUGUAGAGAACUGGCCUCCUCUUGUUGGCAAACUCCAGAAUCCAGCAAAAAGGGGGGCAGCCUGUCAAUGGUUCUGAGGGGAUCAGGCAGAGCCGUUACUUGCAAUAGCAUCACAGGACCACAAGGGGACAGCAGAGAAAGCCUUUGCUCACAUUCUUGGCAGGAAGGGGGUCCCCCAAAACACCUGACUAUCCUUGGGUCCCAUAAAAAAGACGCAAAAGCAGACCCAUCCAAAGAUUCUUAUGCCUGAAGCACUGGUCAUUUCUUUUAUAGCAAUCCAGCCUAGAAGUUUAGAUCUGGAGCAAACUCAACACAUCUUCACCAGAUAGCUGCCAGACCCUCCCCGGGGCAAGGAAGAGGAGGCGAUACGGAAGAAGUAUCUUCCCAUUUGAAUGCCCCUUUAAGAUGUAAAAUCCAUUCUGGGUUCAUGAGCUCAGACACAACCUGGAGUUGUGGCAGGACCUGGCCCCUGCACAGAGUUUGCAGCCCCCACUCUGGACCUCAAGACCCUCCCCAACACAACAUAUAUGUAGUGGGGUGCCAAAUAAAAUACAGGAUGCCAGUUCA
Long non-coding RNA from Myotis myotis, 3465 nucleotides. RefSeq lists it as uncharacterized. The transcript is spliced from 2 exons. The record is from RefSeq and is a predicted model, not a curated record. NCBI's taxonomy places the organism in Eukaryota, Metazoa, Chordata, Mammalia, Chiroptera, Vespertilionidae.